RNAcentral lists this unclassified non-coding RNA (238 nucleotides) under uncultured fungus. RNAcentral's name for it is "sequence contains ITS1". The record is from RNAcentral. Lineage: Eukaryota; Fungi.
UCAAGUUUGCUUGCUUGGAUGGAGAAAUCCGUUCUGCAACAGAACCCCCUCUGCGUAUCUGUAAACUGUUGCUUCCGUCGGCCUGUGGGCCGCGGCGCCGCUUCUGUGGUGACCGUGACCCCCUCCGGUGCCUGGCCGAAAGCGGCCGGCUGGGGAGCUGCCGGCGGUAAGCCAAACCACAAACUCUGCAAGUUCAAGUGACACCUGUCUGAGCUUAGAUGCUACAAAACAACAAGUU